AGCCGAAGGAUCGGCCAGCCGUCUAGAC
Molecule: small RNA, 28 nt
Filed under: Bombyx mori (domestic silkworm)
Lineage: Eukaryota; Metazoa; Arthropoda; Insecta; Lepidoptera; Bombycidae
Description: ovarian small RNA-4537
Source: RNAcentral